CACAUCUGUGUUCUCUGAAGGAUCUCUGCUCCUUCCCGGGUGUUGCAAAGGCAGCCUGUCCUCUCCAUUUCCUGGGUCCCAGCUCCUUUCUCCUGACCCUCGUUUCCAGCUCCCUUGGGCCAAGACAGAGAAUAAAAACAUCCUGGGAUGGACGUGCCGUGAAGGAGGAUGUCCUUCCAGAAACCAAAGCAAAGCCAGCAACGCCCUUCCCUCCCCCAAAUAAAAGUAUUGGAGGACCGGGCUGCUUCUUUCGUUCUCCUCCAAGCCUGGAUGUUCUUAGGGGGGUGGCACAGAAACUCUUCUUCCAGGAGGUGAGAGGACUGUGGUCAGAUGUCCUGGCUUACUCUCAGCCAAGCCUUGCCGCUGGGAGAGGACUCCUUGAGGCAGAAGCUGGGCAAAGGGUGAACUAGAAGAAGCCGGCAGCUUUUGGGUAUUCGCUGGGGCAUCAGUGAGCACUUGUCCUCUGCCUCUCUUUUCUUGGGUCUGUCGGGCUGUUUGGAAGAAACAGUCUCUGAGCCCUUUGAGCUGCCUAUUGGUCAGGGAAUGAAUCUGUCUACUCUCUCAGGUGAGACUGUCUGUGUCUGAGCUGAUCACUCGGAAGAGUUUGUAAAGCUGGCGGCGGGGGGGGUGGGGAAAUAGAUCCAGAGUGUUCCGAGUAUUUGUAUUCUAUGCAAAACUCAUGGAAUUGGAGUUCCCGUUGUGGCUCAGCAGCAAUGAACCUGACUAGUAUCCAUGAGGACGUGGGUUGGAUCCUUGGCCUCGCUCAGUGGGUUAAGGAUCCGGUGUUGCCGUGAGCUGUGAUGUAGGUUGCAGAUCUGGCUUGGAUCCUGCGUUGCUGUGGCUGCAGUGUAGGCUGGGAGCUGCAGCUCUGAUUUGACCCUUAGCCUGGGAACUUCCAUAUGCCAUGGGUGCAGCCUUAGAAAAGGAAAAAAAAAUGUAUUUAUUCAUUUUAAAUAGGUAAUCCAAGCACAGGGCACAACACUGCAAAAAGUGCCUAAAAGUACUAUGGUGAAAAACAAAUGUCUUUCCCACUUCUGUGCCCAAAUCCCUCAGAUUCCCUCCCAGAAACAACCACUGUGCCAGUUAACCACUGGGCAUCUUUUGGGAGCUUGUC
This 1114-nucleotide long non-coding RNA is filed under the name Sus scrofa (pig). RNAcentral's name for it is "lncRNA (ENSSSCG00015053766.1)". The record is from RNAcentral. Lineage: Eukaryota; Metazoa; Chordata; Mammalia; Artiodactyla; Suidae.